AGAUGUGCUCUCCUGGCCCAUGAAAUCAAGUGUGGGUGAGACCUGGUGCAGAACGGGAAGGCGACCCAUACUUGGUUUCAGAGGCUGUGAGAAUA
This 95-nucleotide non-coding RNA is filed under the name Pongo pygmaeus (Bornean orangutan). RNAcentral's name for it is "microRNA ppy-mir-551b precursor". Its record names the gene ppy-mir-551b. The stretch from base 14 to 87 matches the Rfam family "mir-551 microRNA precursor family". Lineage: Eukaryota; Metazoa; Chordata; Mammalia; Primates; Hominidae. The record is from miRBase by way of RNAcentral. RNAcentral also lists the same sequence under 1 other name.